CCUACGGGAGGCUGCAGUGGGGAAUAUUGGACAAUGGGCGAAAGCCUGAUCCAGCCAUGCCGCGUGUGUGAAGAAGGCCUUCGGGUGGUAAAGCACUUUCAGUGGGGAAGAAAGCCUUGGGGCUAAUACCCUCGAGGAAGGACAUCACCCACAGAAGAAGCACCGGCUAACUCCGUGCCAGCAGCCGCGGUAAUACGGAGGGUGCGAGCGUUAAUCGGAAUUACUGGGCGUAAAGCGGGCGUAGGCGGUCUGAUAAGCCGGUUGUGAAAGCCCCGGGCUCAACCUGGGAACGGCAUCCGGAACUGUCAGGCUAGAGUGCAGGAGAGGAAGGUAGAAUUCCCGGUGUAGCGGUGAAAUGCGUAGAGAUCGGGAGGAAUACCAGUGGCGAAGGCGGCCUUCUGGACUGACACUGACGCUGAGGUGCGAAAGCGUGGGUAGCAAACAGGAUUAGAUACCCCUGUAGUC
This 465-nucleotide ribosomal RNA is filed under the name Vreelandella stevensii. Its description in RNAcentral is "partial 16S ribosomal RNA". It matches the Rfam family "Bacterial small subunit ribosomal RNA", at positions 338 to 795 of the family's 1533-position model. The record is from RNAcentral. Lineage: Bacteria; Pseudomonadati; Pseudomonadota; Gammaproteobacteria; Oceanospirillales; Halomonadaceae.